This 253-nucleotide ribosomal RNA is filed under the name uncultured bacterium. RNAcentral's name for it is "partial 16S ribosomal RNA". It matches the Rfam family "Bacterial small subunit ribosomal RNA", at positions 524 to 776 of the family's 1533-position model. The record is from RNAcentral.
GACAGAGGGUGCUAGCGUUGUUCGGAAUUACUGGGCGUAAAGCGUGCGCAGGCGGUUUGCUAAGAGAGAUGUGAAAUCCCCGGGCUUAACCUGGGAACUGCGUUUCUAACUGGCAGGCUUGAGUGUGGCAGAGGGGGGUGGAAUUCCACGUGUAGCAGUGAGAUGCGUAGAUAUCGUGAGGAAUACCAGAGGCGAAGGCGGCUACCUGGACAAUUGCUGACGCUCAGGCACGAAAGCGUGGGGAGCAAAAGGG